CAGAGGCCCCAAGCGUUACUGAGAAUCACUGGGUUUAAAGGGUGCGUAGGUGGCGCGUUAAGUCCGUUGUGAAAGCCCUGGGCUCAACCCAGGAACUGCUUCGGAUACUGGCGCGCUUGAGGCUAGUAGAGGUCACUGGAACUGACGGUGGAGCGGUGAAAUGCGUAGAUAUCGUCAGGAACGCCAAUGGUGAAGACAGGUGACUGGGCUAGUUCUGACACUGAGGCACGAAAGCGUGGGGAGCGAACGGGAUUAGAUACCCCGGUAGUCCACGCCCUAAACGAUGCAGACUAGACUGCAGCGGGUUACACCCCGUCGCGGUCGGAGCGAAAUUGUUAAGUCUGCCACCUGGGAAGUACGGUCGCAAGGCUA
This 372-nucleotide ribosomal RNA is filed under the name uncultured organism. Its description in RNAcentral is "bacterial SSU rRNA". It matches the Rfam family "Bacterial small subunit ribosomal RNA", at positions 526 to 896 of the family's 1533-position model. The record is from RNAcentral.